GUGGGGAAUAUUGCACAAUGGGGGAAACCCUGAUGCAGCGACGCCGCGUGAGUGAAGAAGUAUUUCGGUACGUAAAGCUCUAUCAGCAAGGAAGAAAAUGACGGUACUUGACUAAGAAGCCCCGGCUAACUACGUGCCAGCAGCCGCGGUACUACGUAGGGGGCAAGCGUUAUCCGGAUUUACUGGGUGUAAAGGGAGCGUAGACGGUAUGGUAAGUCAGAUGUGAAAGCCCGGGGCUCAACCCCGGGACUGCAUUUGAAACUAUCAGACUAGAGUGCAGGAGAUGUAAGUGGAAUUCCUAGUGUAGCGGUGAAAUGCGUAGAUAUUAGGAGGAACACCAGUGGCGAAGGCGGCUUACUGGACUGUAACUGACGUUGAGGCUCGAAAGCGUGGGGAGCAAACAGGAUUAGAAACCCGUGUAGUCC
Molecule: ribosomal RNA, 425 nt
Filed under: uncultured bacterium
Lineage: Bacteria
Description: partial 16S ribosomal RNA
Rfam family: Bacterial small subunit ribosomal RNA
Source: RNAcentral